GCCAGGUGUGGUGGUGCACACCUGUAAUCCCAGCUACUCGGGAGGCUGAGACACGAGAAUUGCUUGAACCUGGGAGGCCGAGGUUGCAGUGAGCUGAGAUUUGCACCACUGCAUUCCAGCCUGGGUGACAGAGUGAGACUCCGUCUCAA
Pongo abelii (Sumatran orangutan) is the source of this 149-nucleotide unclassified non-coding RNA. It matches the Rfam family "Metazoan signal recognition particle RNA". Rfam says of the family: The signal recognition particle (SRP) is a universally conserved ribonucleoprotein. It is involved in the co-translational targeting of proteins to membranes. The eukaryotic SRP consists of a 300-nucleotide 7S RNA and six proteins: SRPs 72, 68, 54, 19, 14, and 9. NCBI's taxonomy places the organism in Eukaryota, Metazoa, Chordata, Mammalia, Primates, Hominidae. The record is from Ensembl.